UGGAAAGACUCAAGAUGGACUUCCAGUGU
This 29-nucleotide non-coding RNA is filed under the name Rattus norvegicus (Norway rat). Lineage: Eukaryota; Metazoa; Chordata; Mammalia; Rodentia; Muridae. The record is from RNAcentral.